GGACGUGCUAAUCUGCGAUAAGCGUCGGUAAGGUGAUAUGAACCGUUAUAACCGGCGAUUUCCGAAUGGGGAAACCCAGUGUGUUUCGACACACUAUCAUUAACUGAAUCCAUAGGUUAAUGAGGCGAACCGGGGGAACUGAAACAUCUAAGUACCCCGAGGAAAAGAAAUCAACCGAGAUUCCCCCAGUAGCGGCGAGCGAACGGGGAGGAGCCCAGAGCCUGAAUCAGUGUGUGUGUUAGUGGAAGCGUCUGGAAAGGCGCGCGAUACAGGGUGACAGCCCCGUACACAAAAAUGCACAUACUGUGAGCUCGAUGAGUAGGGCGGGACACGUGGUAUCCUGUCUGAAUAUGGGGGGACCAUCCUCCAAGGCUAAAUACUCCUGACUGACCGAUAGUGAACCAGUACCGUGAGGGAAAGGCGAAAAGAACCCCGGCGAGGGGAGUGAAAAAGAACCUGAAACCGUGUACG
This 471-nucleotide ribosomal RNA is filed under the name Escherichia coli. Its description in RNAcentral is "partial 23S ribosomal RNA". It matches the Rfam family "Bacterial large subunit ribosomal RNA", at positions 54 to 563 of the family's 2925-position model. Lineage: Bacteria; Pseudomonadati; Pseudomonadota; Gammaproteobacteria; Enterobacterales; Enterobacteriaceae. The record is from RNAcentral.